RNAcentral lists this long non-coding RNA (1667 nucleotides) under Salmo salar (Atlantic salmon). RNAcentral's name for it is "lncRNA (ENSSSAG00000121088.1)". Lineage: Eukaryota; Metazoa; Chordata; Actinopteri; Salmoniformes; Salmonidae. The record is from RNAcentral.
AUGCUGCAGACUGGUGAAUAACUACUGUGGUGGUGAGAUCAUACACUCUGACUGGAACAACUGAUCUAGGAUAAGUGAGCCCGGUGCAGACUGAUGUCUGCUCCAGCACUGUGAAAAGGACAACUGAACCUUUUCAGUCAGGAUCUACGCUCUCUACUCACAUCAUCACAUAGGUAAAGGAAUGGAAUGGACAGCAGACGGCAGAGAGUCCCUUGAGCUGAUGAGAGUGACACCAGCGCUUCCCCAGGGCUCCAGGGAUGCUGUCCCAGCACAUAGUAAAGAUGCCACAUUCCACACAGGAGAAUCAAUCUGAAGGUGGAAACUAAGGAGUUAGGCUGGCUGAAGUAAUGUAAUGCAUCCCAUAUGUAGGCAUUCCUGCACUGCCUGUAGUGUCUGUCAGCGUCUCAUAUUCUGGACCUUGAAGUUGAUUCCUCGGCAGCCAGUUGCAUCCUGGGAAGGCUGUUCCAUGGGUCCAGGCUGGGAGUGAAUCUCAAAUGUAUUUUCUUGAUUCCUUGUGUCCUUUCUCCUUGAUUCCUUCUCCAAGUUCAUUGGGGAACAAGGUCUAAGGGGAGGAAAAUUUGACCAUUUCUUCCAAUGUGUUUUGAGAAGGAGCGAGGAGAGAGGACAGGGGCAAUCAAGGAAAUACAAUUGAGAUUCACCCAGGGGCUCUCCUCCUGUCCUGCGUCGCCCUGCUCUCAUUGGCAGACCGAUCGUCAGCUCCAGCAGCUGCGUCUCUGUCUAUCUGUCGGCCUCACCCUCGGCCCCUCGGGACAUUUAGCAGGGAAAAACGUUUGGAUAUCAGAGCGCCGGUAACUCACCAGCAUUACGACCAGGAAUACGACUUUCCCGCAUCAGAUCCUUUGUUCGUACCCCCCAGGGCAAUUGAACUGAUUCCAGAGGCUGACCCAAAACACCUCCGGCGGAGGAGAGGUACUCGGAGGGGACUUCUAGUCCAACUCAGGAGGCGCGCACACCACCCACCGCUUCUGAGUAUAUUACUCACUAAUGUUCAGUCUCUGGAUAAUAAAGAUGACGAUCUCAGGGGACGAGGAUUUCCUUCCAGAGAGACGUCAGGGAUUGUAACAUACUCUGUUUCACGGAAGCAUGGCUGUUACGGAUACAGGUAUCCUGUGUGUGUGUUUCUUUUCUCUCCUUCUCACCUCACAGGUGACAAUCAUCAUUCCCCAAUCAGUCAUCAAUCAGUCACCAACCAAGACACCUGCUCCUUUCCCCUCAAUAAAUCACAUCCCUUUCCCUUGGUUUAAAAACCCAGCCAGUUGUUUUCUCUUUAGUUCAAUCUCUCUCUGUAAGAUCAAUCUCUUAGUGCUCAAUCUCUCUCUCCGUAUCGCUCUCAAUACAGAUCUCUCUUUUGUUUUGCAACUACAUGUCACUUUGUCCGUCAGCCUGUGAGUAUUGUUGUUUCUUUCCUUGGGUCCAGCUCAGCCCCUUUUCUCACACCCCUUUACCGUGUGUUUAAAAAUAAACCUUUAGUGUUUGACGGUAAAUUUCAGUUGUCUGUGGUUUUUGUUCUCACUGUUACUUUUUCACUAUUAUAAUUUGCAUGAUUUAUGUUACGGGUCUCGUUGCCAUCCCCCCUAGACUGCAGGGCCAAAGAGUAUUCGUAACAUAAGUGGGCCGGGAUCUGUCUUUACUGACACCCAUACCGC